Molecule: ribosomal RNA, 226 nt
Filed under: Exiguobacterium acetylicum
Lineage: Bacteria; Bacillati; Bacillota; Bacilli; Caryophanales
Description: partial 16S ribosomal RNA
Rfam family: Bacterial small subunit ribosomal RNA
Source: RNAcentral
UGGAAUGAGCGGCGGACGGGUGAGUAACACGUAAGGAACCUGCCUCAAGGAUUGGGAUAACUCCGAGAAAUCGGAGCUAAUACCGGAUAGUUCAACGGACCGCAUGGUCCGCUGAUGAAAGGCGCUCCGGCGUCACCUUGAGAUGGCCUUGCGGUGCAUUAGCUAGUUGGUGGGGUAACGGCCCACCAAGGCGACGAUGCAUAGCCGACCUGAGAGGGUGAUCGGC